AAAAAGUUAAACCCUGGGUUUCCGUGUCCAAUUUUGACUAUCCGUCUUAUAUAAAAUUUUUUUAUAAUUCGUAUUUUCAUUGUUGUUAGAUGAUAAAACAUGAUUAAUAUUUUAUGCGUGACUUGUCUUUUUAUUUUUUUUCCAUAAUUUUCUCAAAUAAGAUGGACGGUCAAACGGGCACGGAAACCAGGGUUUGUCUUUUU
Oryza barthii is the source of this 203-nucleotide non-coding RNA. The record is from Rfam. NCBI's taxonomy places the organism in Eukaryota, Viridiplantae, Streptophyta, Magnoliopsida, Poales, Poaceae.